GAAUUAUAUAUAAGCGUAGAAGGUCCGUCUCUUAUAAUGAAAAGAUAUUCUAAUUGUCGAGGUAUCCAAAACAUGUAAUCCGGUGUAUUAAGGUAAGAUAUUGAAAUAGAUGACAGCUUUUGAAAAUAAACUAUUUUUAUUGUACAGAACAGAUUUUGAUUAUCAAUAUGUUAACUGCUUAAUCAUAUGAAUAAUGAAGUAGGAAGUUUUUCUGUCUUUGUCUGAUUCCGAUAUUCAAGACUGUAAAACAUUAAUUAAUCGUGUAUACGUCACAUAUGUUGUAAAUGUAAAAUGUCAACAUUGCUAGUUAGUGAGAUAAAA
This 321-nucleotide long non-coding RNA is filed under the name Mytilus galloprovincialis (Mediterranean mussel). Lineage: Eukaryota; Metazoa; Mollusca; Bivalvia; Mytilida; Mytilidae. The record is from RNAcentral.